AGAGUUUGAUCAUGGCUCAGGAUGAACGCUGGCGGUAUGCCUAACACAUGCAAGUCGAACGAUGUCUUCGGACAUAGUGGCGGACGGGUGAGUAACGCGUGAGAAUCUGCCUCUAGGAUGGGGAUAACGGUUGGAAACGACCGCUAACACCCAAUAUGCCGUAAGGUGAAAAAUUUAUUGCCUGGAGAGGAGCUCGCGUCUGAUUAGCUAGUUGGUGGGGUAAGAGCUCACCAAGGCCUCGAUCAGUAGCUGGUCUGAGAGGAUGAGCAGCCACACUGGGACUGAGACACGGCCCAGACUCCUACGGGAGGCAGCAGUGGGGAAUUUUCCGCAAUGGGCGAAAGCCUGACGGAGCAAUACCGCGUGAGGGAGGAAUGCCUUUGGGUUGUAAACCUCUUUUCUCAGGGAAGAAGAUCUGACGGUACCUGAGGAAUAAGUAUCGGCUAACUCCGUGCCAGCAGCCGCGGUAAUACGGAGGAUGCAAGCGUUAUCCGGAAUCAUUGGGCGUAAAGCGUCCGCAGGUGGUUUCCAAAGUCUGCUGUUAAAGACUGGAGCUCAACUCCGGAACGGCGGUGGAAACUUGGAAACUAGAGUUCGGUAGGGGUAGCAGGAAUUCCCAGUGUAGCGGUGAAAUGCGUAGAUAUUGGGAAGAACAUCGGUGGCGAANGCGUGCUACUGGACCGUAACUGACACUCAGGGACGAAAGCUAGGGGAGCGAAAGGGAUUAGAUACCCCUGUAGUCCUAGCUGUAAACGAUGGAAACUAGGUGUGGCUUGUAUCGA
RNAcentral lists this ribosomal RNA (782 nucleotides) under uncultured marine microorganism. Its description in RNAcentral is "bacterial SSU rRNA". It matches the Rfam family "Bacterial small subunit ribosomal RNA", at positions 8 to 835 of the family's 1533-position model. The record is from RNAcentral.